UUGCUAUGAUGACUUCUUAGGACACCUUUGGAUGAACCAUGAAAAUAAACACUAUAAGCUGAGCAAC
Small nucleolar RNA from Boleophthalmus pectinirostris (great blue-spotted mudskipper), 67 nucleotides. RefSeq annotates it as small nucleolar RNA SNORD58. The record is from RefSeq and is a predicted model, not a curated record. NCBI's taxonomy places the organism in Eukaryota, Metazoa, Chordata, Actinopteri, Gobiiformes, Gobiidae. The transcript has a single exon.